RNAcentral lists this ribosomal RNA (487 nucleotides) under uncultured haloarchaeon. RNAcentral's name for it is "partial 16S ribosomal RNA". Lineage: Archaea; Methanobacteriati; Methanobacteriota; Halobacteria; Halobacteriales; Halobacteriaceae. The record is from RNAcentral.
CUUCGCUAUGGCACAGCGCAGGCUCGUAGCCUGCGCCACACCUAGCGGACAUCGUUUACGGCCAAGACUACCCGGGUAUCUAAUCCGGUUCGWGACCUUGGCUUUCGUCCCUCACCGUCGGGUCCGUCCUCCCAAGGCGCUUUCGCCACCGGCGGUCCGUCCGGGAUUACGGGAUUUCACUCCUACCCCGGACGUACCCCYUGGGUCUUCCGGCCCCAAGCCAGAUGGUUUCCGCCGGACSYCCACGCGUUAAGCGCGUGGAUUUCCCRACGGACYUGUCUGGCCGGCUACGGACGCUUUAGGCCCAAUAAAAUCGGCCAUCACUCGGGCUGCCGGUAUUACCGCGGCGGCUGGCACCGGUCUUGCCCAGCCCUUUUUUCUGAACCUCCYUACRGUCCAGAAAAGCGAGGACUAUAUGCCCUCGCACUUGGRGUCCCCUUAUCGCRCUCUCGYGCAGGGUAAAGGUUUCGCGCCUGCUGCACCCCGU